This 75-nucleotide transfer RNA is filed under the name Caudoviricetes sp. RNAcentral describes it as "tRNA-Cys". It matches the Rfam family "tRNA". Rfam says of the family: Transfer RNA (tRNA) molecules are approximately 80 nucleotides in length. Their secondary structure includes four short double-helical elements and three loops (D, anti-codon, and T loops). Lineage: Duplodnaviria; Heunggongvirae; Uroviricota; Caudoviricetes. The record is from RNAcentral.
GCGUCAUGUGCCAGACGGCUAGGCGAGAGACUGCAAAUCUCUUUUAGAUUGGUUCGACUCCAAUAUGACGCUCCA